AGUGAACGCUGGCGGUAGGCCUAACAAAUGCAAGUCGAACGGCAGCACAGUAAGAGCUUGCUCUUACGGGUGGCGAGUGGCGGACGGGUGAGGAAUACAUCGGAAUCUACUUUUUCGUGGGGGAUAACGUAGGGAAACUUACGCUAAUACCGCAUAUGACCUACGGGUGAAAGCAGGGGAUCUUCGGACCUUGCGCGAUUGAAUGAGCCGAUGUCGGAUUAGCUAGUUGGCGGGGUAAAGGCCCACCAAGGCGACGAUCCGUAGCUGGUCUGAGAGGAUGAUCAGCCACACUGGAACUGAGACACGGUCCAGACUCCUACGGGAGGCAGCAGUGGGGAAUAUUGGACAAUGGGCGCAAGCCUGAUCCAGCCAUACCGCGUGGGUGAAGAAGGCCUUCGGGUUGUAAAGCCCUUUUGUUGGGAAAGAAAAGCAGCAGGUUAAUACCCCGCUGUUCUGACGGUACCCAAAGAAUAAGCACCGGCUAACUUCGUG
This 492-nucleotide ribosomal RNA is filed under the name uncultured bacterium. Its description in RNAcentral is "partial 16S ribosomal RNA". It matches the Rfam family "Bacterial small subunit ribosomal RNA", at positions 29 to 507 of the family's 1533-position model. The record is from RNAcentral.